CCCUCAAAUUAUAAUUACCCGAAAGCUAACAAGGGUCCAUAAUUAGAAUUAGCCAACUCACGACUUUAGGGUCAUUGUUCACAUAAUUAAGCAUUUCGCUUUAACGACUUGUUUUAUGGACUUCCAUUGAUGAUUUUCGUCAAAAGGGUCAGACCUCAAAUUAUCAUCAUUCGAAAACCAACAACGGUCCAUAAUAAGAAUUUGCAAUCUCACGACUUUUGGUAUCAUUGUUCACAUGAUUAACCAUCAUAAUUUAGUGGCUCGCAAUGAUGAUUUCCGUCAGAAGGGUCUUAUCUCAAAUUCUAAUUAAAUAGGUAACAAGGGUCAAUAAUCAGAAUUAGCAAUCAAAUGGCUUUAAGGUCAUCAUUGUUCACAAGAUUAACUAUCUCGGUAUAGGGACUUGUUUAGGGGCUCGCAUUGAUGAUUUCCAUCAAAAGGGUCAGCUCUCAAAUUAUCAUUAUCCGAAAAGCAACAAGGGUCCACAAUGAAAAU
RNAcentral lists this long non-coding RNA (492 nucleotides) under Lotus japonicus. Its description in RNAcentral is "long non-coding RNA (LJAP_LNC002177)". The record is from RNAcentral. Lineage: Eukaryota; Viridiplantae; Streptophyta; Magnoliopsida; Fabales; Fabaceae.